RNAcentral lists this long non-coding RNA (968 nucleotides) under Numida meleagris (helmeted guineafowl). RNAcentral describes it as "lncRNA (ENSNMEG00000019483.1)". Lineage: Eukaryota; Metazoa; Chordata; Aves; Galliformes; Numididae. The record is from RNAcentral.
GUAUGUUUCAGUAAUUACUUUAGUGUGAAACCUUUGUUGAGCCCCACUGCGGUCUGUAGUGAUAAUAAGGAAUUCACGGUUAUCUUUUUUUCUGACAAAUCUAUGGAGUAGGUAGAGAGGGAUAACUUUGACUUCAGCUCACAGGGGAGGCUACACUCUAUAUUGUAAACUCUGCAUCAAGGGGGACAGUGUUGGGAGGUAAUAAACCAAAAGGAACUAUAAAGAAAGUAAGAAUCUGGCUUUUUUGAUGCUAAGCUUACUUCCACACAUUUUUUCUCUGUGUAGACUUGUCCUACAUUUCAGCAUUUGGUGUAGCACACUGCAAGCCCCAGUUUGAAACCUGCAGCCCUGCAAACCAAGUGACGCCGAAUUUUUGCCUGCAAAAGAUGUGCUAUUAUUUUUCUCCAUCAUUGCUGAGGGAGUUUGCCUCCGCUGUGUUUAUCUGGGGUGGAAGAGGAAACCUGCAGGCAGCUUGAUGCAUGGGCAGCAAGGGCCGGCAUGAUGUCAUAGCGAGGGGGAACAGAGCCCGGCUGUGUCGCACACUCUGGGCAGGGAGCAGCCACCUUAUCAAUUAGGAUAUCAGCUCCUACGAGACAAACCAAGAGGGACUACAGAGCAGCUCACAUAGCCAGAUGGUGACUGAGACCCUGGAGACCAGCAGGACCACAAACAGGCCUGUUAGAGGGCGGAAAUAAUAUUUGGGUAUGGCAAUUCAUGAAGUAUCUCAGAAGAGAUGGAUGAUGGUCUGAGAGACUGCCUAAAAAACAUCCAGGAGUGGAAAUAUAUGACCCUGGCAUGGCUGCAUGGGCAAGACCACAGGAGCUGUGCCGACUUCAGGAACACUGCUCAUGACAAUAAAGCUGAGCCACAGAAGAGUUUCCAGAAUCUGGAUAACUAUUCACUGCGCUCUUAGUUAAAGAACAGUUAAGAUAGACAUCUUAGAAUAAAUAUUUCCUAAUCUUAUUGCA